Molecule: small nucleolar RNA, 135 nt
Organism: Pezoporus flaviventris
Lineage: Eukaryota; Metazoa; Chordata; Aves; Psittaciformes; Psittacidae
Product: small nucleolar RNA SNORA58
Exons: 1
Source: RefSeq, a predicted model, not a curated record
CUGCAUACUAGUAGACCCUUUCUGACUGUGCCAUGGUCACAAAGGGGGGACAAUGUAUGCAAAAGCAAGCCCAAGUUGCCAACAGACUCAUUCAGGCAGCUGUCUGACUGAUUGACCUGUGGUACUUGUACAGAA